GAUGAACGCUGGCGGCGUGCCUAAUACAUGCAAGUAGAACGCUGAAGCUUGGUGCUUGCACCGAGCGGAUGAGUUGCGAACGGGUGAGUAACGCGUAGGUAACCUGCCUCUUAGCGGGGGAUAACUAUUGGAAACGAUAGCUAAUACCGCAUAAAAGUCGAUAUCGCAUGAUAUUGAUUUGAAAGGUGCAAUUGCAUCACUAAGAGAUGGACCUGCGUUGUAUUAGCUAGUUGGUGAGGUAACGGCUCACCAAGGCGACGAUACAUAGCCGACCUGAGAGGGUGAUCGGCCACACUGGGACUGAGACACGGCCCAGACUCCUACGGGAGGCAGCAGUAGGGAAUCUUCGGCAAUGGGGGCAACCCUGACCGAGCAACGCCGCGUGAGUGAAGAAGGUUUUCGGAUCGUAAAGCUCUGUUGUAAGAGAAGAACGAGUGUGAGAGUGGAAAGUUCACACUGUGACGGUAACUUACCAGAAAGGGACGGCUAACUACGUGCCAGCAGCCGCGGUAAUACGUAGGUCCCGAGCGUUAUCCGGAUUUAUUGGGCGUAAAGCGAGCGCAGGCGGUUAGAUAAAUCUGAAAUUAAAGGCUGUGGCUUAACCAUAGUACGCUUUUGGAAACUGUUUAACUUUGAGUGCAGAAGGGGAGAGUGGAAUUUCAUGUGUAUCGGUGAAAUGCGUAAAUUUAUGGAUGGAACUCCUGUGGGGAAAGCUGGU
This 718-nucleotide ribosomal RNA is filed under the name uncultured Streptococcus sp. RNAcentral's name for it is "bacterial SSU rRNA". It matches the Rfam family "Bacterial small subunit ribosomal RNA", at positions 28 to 726 of the family's 1533-position model. Lineage: Bacteria; Bacillati; Bacillota; Bacilli; Lactobacillales; Streptococcaceae. The record is from RNAcentral.